Molecule: RNA transcript, 7773 nt
Organism: Aquila chrysaetos chrysaetos
Lineage: Eukaryota; Metazoa; Chordata; Aves; Accipitriformes; Accipitridae
Gene: CFAP92
Gene name: cilia and flagella associated protein 92 (putative)
Exons: 18
Source: RefSeq, a predicted model, not a curated record
UUAGGUUUUGCAUCAUGUUUUCUUCAAAAACAACCACCUGAUCCAAGACUUUUAACCACUAGACAACUGUGAAAACAGUUGGACCAGAGAAAACUUAAAUGUCGCUUCAGCCUCUCUGUGACAAGGGGGUUGCGUUUGAUAGAGGUAAACUUUCCUUUUGCUCCCUGCUUUUCUUUAAACUAAACCAUGAAUUGCCCUACACUUAACCUUUUUUACAGUGCAGUGCUUCUGGUAUCAGACGUACAGAAAAAGCCGUCACAGUGUAAUUACAAUGACUCUUGUGUUUACUCCCGACUAUAGCAAGACUAAGAUUUUACUCCUGACCCAGAGAAGGUUUGCCUGUUCCUUGACUUAUUCUCUAAACCUGCUCAAAGAGGUGGCAGCAUUUUAUUAAGUAUUCAAGGACUUUUUCUUUACUAAGUUGUUCCCAGUUCUGAUAGUGCACUCCAGCAUGAAAGUAACUUGAAGGAGUUCCAACUGUAGAAAGACCUGAUGGGAAAGCAGGAUCUGAAUGGAAUGGCUCUUUCUACAGGGGUGUGGUAAUAGUUGGAAAUUACAAUAUAUUAAAAUUCUGCUUUUGAAAUUACUUAACUGGAUACUUUAAGAGGUUAAAAGGUGCCACAAUCAGACUUAAGCUUGUUUGCCAACAUCAUUGAUGGAAUAAUGUUUUAAAUUGUAUGAGGUAGCCGUGGGAUUAGUUAAGACAUGUAAACUACGUUUAUAGAAAAAAAUGGCUUGAGUUUAAGCUAACUAUAGUUGUAUUUUAUUUCACGGUUCAUAUGCGUUGCAGGACUGAGGAUCAGCAUGGUUUGCAUUUGUCAGACGUUCCAGGAUAUCAGUAGCCUGGUCUCAUUUGUGUGGCAGGUUGUUGUUCAGUACACAGAGCCAGCCAGAACUGCAGGACUGUAGAAGAUGCUCAUCUUGCCAGAAAGAUUACUUCAUUACAGUAAAAAAAUAACCAACAAACUUUAUUCCUUCCAGACUUUCUACUGUCAAGGAGAAAAGUGAAAAUGUAGUGCUAAGUACCUAAAAUUUGUUUUCCAAACCCUUUCCAACAAGGUCAUACUGUGAUAUUAUCGAUCCUUUUAAAACUGUUGUUUCUGAAACAGUUGCUUUCACAAGGAACUUCAGAGAUGAGUUAAAAUAAUAUUAGUGGUGCAGUGUUGUUCUUGGCAUGUUCUUGAAGUUGCUUGCAAUUCCAAAAAUGUUGGGUGUUGUCUUUUUGUUUGUUAGGUCCAGCAUAUUGGGACGGCUCUGCGUAUACAGUAAGGCAAAGAAAGAAAAAUGUAAUUGAACAUCCGUAUCUGUCGUGUAGUUCUGCUCCUGCCUGCAGCGUGUUUUCGUUUAAUACAUACACAGACAAGAUUUUAGAUGUAUGCAUCUAGUGAGUGUGUAGGUAAUUCUGAUAAACUGUGCAAAAGGCUGUAAAGAUGUUCUAUAUGUUUAGCGACAUGAAGAGCAUAUUGGGUGGCUACAGGAAAGAGUUUCAGUAACUAAUAUAGGGAACCUUAGUAAGCUUCUGAACGUAAGGAAAAUGUCUAUGUUAAAAAUGGACAAGAACUGGUGUCUGGAGCCUCUCUUGGCGUGGAGUUGAUGGGAAACCACUGGGGUUAAUGAAAGACCUUACCUAACUGCAACUUGGUUUUUAUCCUGAGUGAUAUUACUAAUUAGAUUGUGGUCUUUCGCUUGGCAUAAACUAUUUAAAGCGAAGAAACGAUUUGUUAUGUAGUCUUGCAGAGGAAACAGCUGCAGCUCUCUGAAUAACCAGGUGUUGUAUUUGACAUUUCUUAGCUAUUCAGCGUCUGGAACAGUUUUAAGGCUCUUAUCCUGUAAUUAGAAAAGAGAAAUCUACUGCUUUCGACUUUAUUUAGUGGUGCUCAUGGGGUAAAUGUUUCUUUUUUAUGAACAAAUCUUGGAGUAAAUGGAGGGGGAAAAUUGGAAAUUCACGAUAGGAUAAGUGAGACCAGAAUUUGCCUUGUAGUGCUUCAGUCAAUAUUACUCCUGGCUUUCUGUUUCUCUAGCUGAUAAGUUUGCCAGAGUUCCUGUGCAGGCUGUAAGGAGCCGAUAUGAUCUGAGCCUCUGCUACAAGGUUUUGACUCCUGUUAAGAGUGUGUAUCUAAAUUACUUCAGAAGAGUAUUUUCUUUCUAAAACAUUGAUGCCAUCUUAAUUUCUGCUGUAAAUUAGACUGUAGAUUCUCAGGAUAAAUGUGUAUUUUUUAGCUUUAGCCGUUUUAGAGCACCACUUCUGGAUAUUCCUAAAUACCAGAGAUCACUAAGUCUGUGUGUACAGGUGAGGGAAUGGAGGUACAGUGACUGUAAGGAGCAGAUGCAAGGAGGGUGAUGGAAGCUUCAGCCUUGGUGUUGGGACCCAUUUUGUGUCCAUCUGGCCAUUCCCAUGACAUCUAGAACCUGAAAUCCCUGGAAAAUCAGAAUCGGUUUCCUUACAGGUAAGUCGGACAUCUUAGUGUACGGUCCGUCAAAACGGCACGCUGGACAAAGCGCUGCAUAGAGUUAGAUGACACAAAGAACGUGGGUGUCCCCUACUCCUUGUUAUUCUGAGGUUUUAUGCACUUUGCUGAGGAUUCACAGCCCUGAGCCUUUGCCUGAGAGGAGCUGUGAGUAUGCGCUUCUGGCCUGAUGGUUCAGGUUCUGCCAGCAAGUGUCGGUGUGUGUCCUGUUCACUGCUCUCUGAGACUCUUCAUGCACUUUCAAUAAACCAUGGUAGAUCUUAAGACUCUCUCUUCUAACUGAGCUCAGCAAAUCUUGAACUCCUUUCACAGUGGUACAGUUUCAGCAGGAAGAGCGGAAAAUGUCCCUGUGCUCUGCCUAACGUACAGCCCUGACGGUUAGCUAGGUCUCACUCCCGGCAGUCAGAAGAUGCAGGUGCAGCAAGGCCUCAGGGAAGGGAAGAAUACACAUGGGUCUCCUGCCUGCAAGGUCAAGAUGGCAAAGCAAAAGCGUAAGAAUUCAAAGGCGGUGGAAGAAGAGGAGGUGGAGGAGGAUGAUAAGGAAGAGAUGACAGACUUGAACACAACCCACUCUGAAAGCACUUUUGAAACUGAAAACCUAGAGGUGCUUGGGCGUGCUGGACAUCUGACCCCAGAGGGUGAAGGCAGCCGGUUCCUCCCGUCUGAAAAAAGUUCCGUGGAACUGGACUGCUGCCAUACUGUGACCUGCACAUUCACAGUCUCGCUAGCUGUCCCUGCCCUGCCUACGGGACAAAAGCAGAAGAUCUCCAACCCCCUUGAUACACAAGGAAAGAGAAUUCAAGUCGAUGAAUCGGGAGCUAUUCCAAGAAUGAAACGUUGCUUUCACAUUGAGUACUUCCUUCUACCAGAUGACCUCGUACCUAGAAAACUGGAUUUGGUCUUGUUUGGGGUGGUUGCAAAGCUAUUUACAGAAUCUAAUUCCAAGGCUAUUACACCAUGGUUUGAAAAUGACAAGAUGUGGAUAUCAUGGAACCAUAGUGUUGAUAUCGGUGUCACUAAUGAAUAUCUAAUAAAACUAAGAGAUCACAAAAUAAUUUUAAAAAUCUGGGAUACCAAGGACAAAGUUUCUUCAAAAGCGAAGCUUAGUAAACCAAGUACUAUUUCUUCACUAGAAGGGGGUGCAGAGGCUGUUGGUGGUGUAAAACACGCUGUGCUAUUGCAAAGAAAAUUCUUUGAAGAGAGUCAGCCAGCACACAGCUGUACAAAAAUCAAAGCAGCAAAGGAAUCCAAGGCACAGGAGGAGUCUUCAGCCUUUCCUGUUAAAGCAGAGGAAACUUAUCUGAAUGGACUAGCAACAUCUAAUUGUGGUUUGCCAUAUCCAUCAAGGACAGAUGACUUAUGUACAGUGAGAAGCGUGAUAUUUGCAAAAAACAGAUUUCUGGAUAAGGCCCAACUUCUGAAGCAGAAAGCAGUUGCUGGUCCUCCAGUUAAUUCAACUUCAAAAAAAACUAAGAAAACAAAUGAUAAUGUGGGAAAUGUGACAUAUGGAGCAGACGAAACAGCUACCACAAAUGGUAGAAGAGGUUCUGGUCCUAAAAGAAACAUUGAUACUACUAUGGCAGAGAAAUAUGGCAUUGCUUCACUGCAGUUAGAUGUCAUGCCUCUCCUCUCAGGAGAAAAGUCAGUGAUCAGUCGUCUGGCAGAAAAUAAUGCUAAAAUUUUAGAUGCUUACAUGACUUUCACUGUGGAAACACCUCUUCUGUCUGAAAGACAAAGACAUGAAUUAAAUCCACUGAUUAUAAGGAUUAAUUCAGCUACCUGCCUCCCAAACACACCUGUACCAAUAGAAGUGCUGCAGAGAUUGUGUGUUCCCACCUACUGCAAAUACAAAUUUCAUAACUUUCCACCUCAUCAAACUCAUGGACAAGUCCAUGGAACUCACGUCUACUUUAAGGAUGUUAAUGUACUUCUAACAGGGACGAUGAAACCUGGGGAAUUACAGAGGUGUCUUAGAGGUCCACCUUUGGAGAUUGAAGUUCAUGACCGGGAUAGAAACAUGGAAAACAACACAAAAAAGCCCUGUUUGUUUGGGGAAGAUGAUGCAGAUGAAAAAGUGGGUAAGGUGAGCUUCCUUGCUUGCAAAUCCACAAUCUGUAAUUCUUUUACAAAGAACAAAGUGUGGCAUCCACAUGGGGUAGCUAAAGUCAGUCUAACUGAUUUAUUGUUGGGUAGAAAGUACUUGGCUAUCAGUGCUCCCAUUCGUAGCUGCUCAGCUCCAAAUGCAGCUGCUUUCAGUGAGCAGGAUGAAAAAAAGAAGAGAACAGGAUCAGUGAGUAGUUCUUCCCUGCUACCUAUGGGACAUUAUCUGGAAUCAGACUCACUUUUGAAAGUAAGAGUGGAAAUAGCUGUGCCGUUGGCAAUGCAUGCAGAAAUUGCUGAUGCUCAAGUCACAGAUUGCCCAUACAGUUGUAUAAUCUACAUUUUUGACUACAAUAAUUCAUCUUUAUUACAUGAUUUGGUGGAAGAAAUUACAGAAAUCAAUGCUAAAGCCCUCCAGCUGGACUGCUAUCCUGUACACUUAAUCGGAAUGGCUCUUGUUGCAUUAAAACUGAAAACCACACUUGAGAAAGUUUCUGAGUUGGAUAUUGUUACUGGUUUUCACUUAUUGGAUGGAGCAACUCAUGUCCUUGUCUUGGAGGGAUUAAAAGACAAAGCAAUCAGGAGACUAUGGGAUAGACACUUUGAAAGAACUUACAGACAUGAAGACGGACAACUGGAGAUACUGUAUAACUCACAACUGUCUUUCCAUCAGCGCCGGUAUACAGACCUGGAAGCUAUCUUUUAUCAUUUCCGCCUCUGUCAGCCCCUCUUCACUAUAACAAAAGAGCCUCUGCUUUAUGUCAGAGGUAUGGUUCCUUGGGCAUGUUUCCAAGCCCUGUCCAGGCUCAAUUACCUUUGUCACAGUAAGAGAUUGAGGGAUGUAAUUCAUGGGGAUCUGCUGCCCUCAGCAGAGAUGAUCACAGUCUUGAGUCACGAGUAUGGAGUUCCCUUAACUGAUGAGGAUCUCUUCACUCAGAAACCUCCUUUACUCUCAUUUUCCUCUGAUGAUUGUACAGUACCAGGAAAAGUUAGCAGAGUGAAACAGGCAGUAUAUUCUUCAGUAGAUAACUACAAUGAAGUGUAUGUGCAGCGGAAGAAAGAAAUAGCAGACAAAAUGUCUUUUGAGAGAAACCUUAUUGUGGCUAACAUCGGUGCUGUAGGCCAACUCAAAGGAAAGAUGAAAAAGCCAAAGUUUGAAGCUUUCAGGAUUUCUCCUGUUGAUGGCAAAUCUGUCUUUAACUACAGCUCUCAGAGCCUGAAUUCUGCAGAACUUGCAAAGAAGCAUCUUCGCCAGGAAAUGGCAAAGGAACCAAAGAACGGAUUCACUUAUUCUUAUGAGUAUCUGUCAGCCACGUUUGACCCAGUGGAUGUGGUUGCUGCCUGUAAGGAAUUCUCUGCAAAAUCCAAGAGUAUGUGGCUGUCACCAGAUGGAUUUGUAUUUCCUGGAUUUAAGAGCAGCAUUGAAAGCAACCUGCACCCUCAGAUGCCUGAUGAGGCACGUCUGGAGGAGUUAAGUGAGAAAUGGCAGGAGAAUGCUCUGCAUGCUAACAUGGAGCCAGUGCUGUCACGAGACAGAUGGAGCUGGGACAAACGGCACCUUGAUUUUGAUCUUUACAAGAAGCCACCUGAGCUCUUCAUGACAAAAGCCCCACAGACUGUCUGUUGUCAGCCUUGUGAAGAUGCUACUCGGAUUCUGCAAACUACGUUUGAUGUUACCAAGCUGAAAGCUCACCGGCGCUCCUCAGCAGCUGAGUUAUCCACGUGUGGGCCGAGAGCCAGGUUUCAGCUACAGAAGCUCCGUGUACCUCCAAAAUUCUCACUCAGGAAGGCAGGACCAAUUUUGAAGCCUGUCCCAGCCCUGUCAGCGUUGGAGAACCAGUCCUGUGACACCGGGUCGGAUGCCCUCCCAGGAAGGAGGAAGGGUGUCACCAGUGGCUUUGUACCUGAUGACCAGCACAGCUUGAAGUGCAGCAAGACUGUUACCCCCCAGCGCAACAGAGAGCGUAAGAAGUUUGAAAAACUCUGAGGUGCACAUUUCAAGUAAGACCACCUUAUUGCUAGAAAUAGCAAAAGUCAGCCCACAUUAUUUUAUAUGGUGCGUGUCAAAGAGCUGCAGUAUACAGACAUUAUAACAAUAAAUUAAAUUAUUAGGGUGUAUUCCAAAGCAACAAACCAAUUAAUUAUAUAUAGGACAACUUGGCAUUCUUGGGCGGUCUCCUUUUCAAGUCCAAACUCCAGAAUUAAGGAAUGAGGUUUGCCCUGGGUGUCACUGUGCAUUACCUACGUUACGUGUUCACAGGUUGAGCUUUCCACAGAGCUGUCAGAGACACUGACCCUUCAGCCGUACGCCUGGCCUUACACCGGGGAACGUAAGCUGCAGCAUUUCUCAUCUAAGAAGCAUAAAUCUAAGCUCUUGAAGAGCAAUUUUUACCUUUCCAGUUUAACUACUAGAUAUUUCAAGAAGUUUCAUGUUAUUUGAACUUUCUAAAUUAAACUAUAUCAGCUGGCAAAUUUUGCAUUAACAGGAAACUUGUAGUUGCUGUCUCAAUUACAUAUGGAACAAUGUUAAAAGUGGUUUAAUUGGUAUUUUGUUCUUUAUUGUGGGACAUGAGUUCUGGCCUUAUUUUGCUGUCAUGUCAUCAAAUCAUGCAAGAUACUGCUCUGCUUCAUUUAAUUAUUCAGUUCUUGCAGAAAUGUAAUCUUGUAUUUAAAUAAAAACCCACACUUAUUGGUUUUAAAAAACAAAACAAAGCAAAGGGGCCAGCGUAAGGCCCUUAAGACCAGGGUCAGGAACAGAACAUGGAGGAGUUCUGAUUAAAUACAAGGAAAAACAUUUAAAUGGGAGCUCAGAGACAGUGAAACCACCACCCAGCUGGUGCUGCUGUCCAUAGUCCGGUGGACAUGAUGACCUCCGGAGGUCCCUUCCAAACUGAACUGUUCUGAUUCUGCAAGUCUUUCAGUGCUUCUCUAAAGCUACUGAGUGUCAGAGUUGGGAUGACCCCUUCCUUCACUCAAAAUUGACUAGAAGACAUUUUUGGUACUAAACCCAGAAGGGGCUUACAUACACAAAAUAUGAAGACAAAGGUUAAUCAGUUUGGAUUUGUCUAACACCUAAUUGUAGCAAAUUUAGUUGUCCUGUAGCAUAACUGUUACCAUGAUACUUUAAAUGAGCUACUACACAACCACCUGCAUUUCAAAUGCUCACUUUACUGUCAAUAAAUUUAUUGACAAAGUAUUGUUGUUA